UACGGAGGGUGCAAGCGUUAUCCGGAUUCACUGGGUUUAAAGGGUGCGUAGGCGGGCAGGUAAGUCAGUGGUGAAAUCCCCGAGCUUAACUUGGGAACUGCCGUUGAUACUAUCUGUCUUGAAUACUAUGGAGGUAAGCGGAAUAUGUCAUGUAGCGGUGAAAUGCUUAGAUAUGACAUAGAACACCAAUUGCGAAGGCAGCUCUCUGGGACGGUACUGACGCUGAGACGCGAAAGCGUGGGGAGCGAACAGG
This 253-nucleotide ribosomal RNA is filed under the name uncultured bacterium. RNAcentral describes it as "partial 16S ribosomal RNA". It matches the Rfam family "Bacterial small subunit ribosomal RNA", at positions 524 to 776 of the family's 1533-position model. The record is from RNAcentral.